This 876-nucleotide ribosomal RNA is filed under the name Triticum aestivum (bread wheat). Its description in RNAcentral is "partial small subunit ribosomal RNA". Lineage: Eukaryota; Viridiplantae; Streptophyta; Magnoliopsida; Poales; Poaceae. The record is from RNAcentral.
AUGGAGGUGGGCUUCCUGGGGCUGGGCAUCAUGGGCAAGGCAAUGGCGGCCAACCUCCUCCGCCACGGCUUCCGCGUCACCGUCUGGAACCGGACCCUCUCCAAGUGCGACGAGCUCGUCGCGAUGGGUGCCGCCGUCGGGGACACUCCGGCGUCCGUCGUCGCCAAGUGCAAGUACACCAUCGCCAUGCUCUCCGAUCCCAGCGCCGCCCUAUCUGUGGUUUUCGACAAGGAUGGUGUGCUCGAGCAAAUCGGAGAGGGCAAGGGCUACGUGGACAUGUCCACUGUCGAUGCUGCAACUUCUUGCAAGAUAAGCGAGGCGGUUAAACAAAAGGGCGGAGCUUUUGUUGAAGCUCCAGUUUCAGGGAGCAAGAAGCCAGCUGAAGAUGGCCAAUUGGUCAUUCUUGCUGCAGGCGACAAGGCACUAUAUGAUGAUAUGGUCCCUGCAUUUGAUGUACUUGGGAAGAAGUCGUUCUUUCUGGGGGAGAUGGGAAAUGGAGCAAAGAUGAAACUGGUGGUCAACAUGAUCAUGGGAAGUAUGAUGAAUGCUUUUUCUGAGGGACUCUGUUUGGCUGACAAAAGUGGGUUGAGCCCCCAGACGCUUCUUGAUGUCCUGGAUCUCGGUGCAAUCGCAAAUCCGAUGUUCAAGAUGAAAGGGCCUUCAAUGCUGCAGGGCAGCUACAAUCCAGCGUUUCCCCUCAAACAUCAGCAGAAGGAUAUGAGGUUGGCUCUGUCGUUGGGAGAUGAAAAUGCCGUGUCCAUGCCAGUGGCAGCUGCUUCCAAUGAGGCAUUCAAGAAAGCAAGAAGCUUGGGACUUGGCGACCUGGAUUUUUCUGUGGUGCACGAGGUGCUGAAAGGCACAGGUGGUUCAGGCUAA